RNAcentral lists this ribosomal RNA (580 nucleotides) under Mesorhizobium sp. RNAcentral describes it as "partial 23S ribosomal RNA". It matches the Rfam family "Bacterial large subunit ribosomal RNA", at positions 1138 to 1716 of the family's 2925-position model. The record is from RNAcentral. Lineage: Bacteria; Pseudomonadati; Pseudomonadota; Alphaproteobacteria; Hyphomicrobiales; Phyllobacteriaceae.
UAGCUCACUGGUCGAGUCGGCCUGCGCGGAAGAUGUAACGGGGCUAAACCAUGCACCGAAGCUGCGGCAGCGACACUUAUGCGUUGUUGGGUAGGGGAGCGUUCUGUAAGCCGUUGAAGGUGUCCUGUGAGGGUUGCUGGAGGUAUCAGAAGUGCGAAUGCUGACAUAAGUAACGAUAAUGCGGGUGAAAAGCCCGCACGCCGGAAGACCAAGGGUUCCUGUCCAACGUUAAUCGGGGCAGGGUGAGUCGACCCCUAAGGCGAGGCCGAAAGGCGUAGUCGAUGGGAAACAGGUUAAUAUUCCUGUACUUGGUGUUACUGCGAAGGGGGGACGGAGAAGGCUAUGUUAGCCGGGCGACGGUUGUCCCGGUUUAAGCAUGUAGGCGGAAAGUUUAGGUAAAUCCGGACUUCUUUUAACGCUGAGGUGUGAUGACGAGGCACUACGGUGCUGAAGUAACAAAUGCCCUGCUUCCAGGAAAAGCCUCUAAGCAUCAGGUAACAUCAAAUCGUACCCCAAACCGACACAGGUGGUCAGGUAGAGAAUACCAAGGCGCUUGAGAGAACUCGGGUGAAGGAACUAG